RNAcentral lists this ribosomal RNA (253 nucleotides) under uncultured bacterium. RNAcentral describes it as "partial 16S ribosomal RNA". It matches the Rfam family "Bacterial small subunit ribosomal RNA", at positions 524 to 776 of the family's 1533-position model. The record is from RNAcentral.
CACGUAGGGCGCAAGCGUUGUCCGGAAUUAUUGGGCGUAAAGAGCUUGUAGGCGGUCUGUCGCGUCUGCUGUGAAAAUCCGGGGCUCAACCCCGGACUUGCAGUGGGUACGGGCAGACUAGAGUGUGGUAGGGGAGACUGGAAUUCCUGGUGUAGCGGUGAAAUGCGCAGAUAUCGGGAGGAACACCAAUUGCGAAGGCAGCUCGCUGGGACGGUACUGACGCUGAGGCGCGAAAGCGUGGGGAGCAAACAGG